GGAUAACCUGCCCUUGGGACCGGGAUAACCCCGGGAAACUGGGGAUAAUACCGGAUAACGCAUAUCUGCUGGAAUGCUUUAUGCGUAAAAUGGAUUUGUCUGCCCAAGGAUGGGUCUGCGGCCUAUCAGGUAGUAGUGGGUGUAAUGUACCUACUAGCCUACGACGGGUACGGGUUGUGAGAGCAAGAGCCCGGAGAUGGAUUCUGAGACAUGAAUCCAGGCCCUACGGGGCGCAGCAGGCGCGAAAACUUUACAAUGCGGGAAACCGUGAUAAGGGGACACCGAGUGCCAGCAUCAUAUGUUGGCUGUCCAGAUGUGUAAAAUACAUCUGUUAGCAAGGGCCGGGCAAGACCGGUGCCAGCCGCCGCGGUAACACCGGCGGCCCGAGUGGUGAUCGUGAUUAUUGGGUCUAAAGGGUCCGUAGCCGGUUUGGUCAGUCCUCCGGGAAAUCUGACGGCUCAACCGUUAGGCUUUCGGUGGAUACUGCCAGACUUGGAACCGGGAGAGGUAAGAGGUACUACAGGGGUAGGAGUGAAAUCUUGUAAUCCCUGUGAGACCACCUGUGGCGAAGGCGUCUUACCAGAACGGGUUCGACGGUGAGGGACGAAAGCUGGGGGCACGAACCGGAUUAGAUACCCGGGUAGUCCCAGCCGUAAACGAUGCUCGCUAGGUGUCAGGCAUGGCGCGACCGUGUCUGGUGCCGCAGGGAAGCCGUGAAACGAGCCACCUGGGAAGUACGGCCGCAAGGCUGAAACU
RNAcentral lists this ribosomal RNA (756 nucleotides) under uncultured Methanosarcinales archaeon. Its description in RNAcentral is "bacterial SSU rRNA". It matches the Rfam family "Archaeal small subunit ribosomal RNA", at positions 102 to 856 of the family's 1478-position model. The record is from RNAcentral. Lineage: Archaea; Methanobacteriati; Methanobacteriota; Methanomicrobia; Methanosarcinales.